AGAGUUUUGCCAACAAAUAUCUUUAUUGAUAACUGAGAGAAACUAUACAAAGGGUUUUUAGGUAGAGCAUAUAAUACCUCUAACCUAAAGGCAUAGGCUUCCUUUAAUUGCUUAAGGAAGCUUACUAAAUAAGCCAAGCUAUGGACAAACAUCAAAUAAAAUAUUAAAAUCCUAUCCUAUAAGCUAAGGGAUAGGCAAUAUCCGUUAGUUAGGAUAAGUUUUAUCCUUUUGGAAGGUAUAAGAAUUAUCUGUUGUGACUGGAUAAGACUUAUAUUUAUUCACACCAGGAACUACUAAUACGUGGGGGGCAAAUAAAAACAAAACAAACUAUUUUGCUGGCAUGUGACAGCAUAUGCAAGUAGGUGAGUCUGUAGCUUGCAAGCAGAUGCAUUCAGUAGCUUCACAGGCAUCUUGCAAGCAGGUGGAUAAGCUCCUUGUCUUCGAAGUAGCUGAGCCAAUAGCUUCAAAAACUCAUCUAAAAGGGUAACCAACUGAAGAGGGUUUCCUUAGAGAGAAGGGUAACCAAAUAGGAAGGGUAACCCACUGGAGAGGAUAACCCACUGGAAAGGGUAUCCCGCUAGAGAGGGUUGUUACAUAAAGCCAUUGAGGAACUUUAGGAUAGUCCUCAGGUCUUUCACAUCCGGAAGAUCAUCACUUGGUUUGCACAUAGGGAUGUAGAAGGUGAUUUUAGGUGGCUUUUAUAUAUAAUGGUGGUCGAAAUGAUCAGUGGGAUUGAGAUAUUGAGUAGAGGCUCUCAACUUCUCAUACUUUGUGACCCAUGAAGCUGGUAUGAUGCUGACCAGUUCAUCUAUUGAUAUAUUUCUGGGGAUUUUAGUGCACUCUGGGGUUUUAUCAGUUGUAUCAAUGGUCAAGAAGAUAGAUUUGUUGGUUCUUGGAGAAAAUAGGUUCAUAUUAUAGUUUCUAACCCGCCAGGCUAUCUGAUAGUGGAGAUUUACCUGCCUAGUACCUCUAUCAUAUAGAGCAUCGAGAGUCUGGACCAGGAUCUUCAAUGCCUUCAUCAGAUCUGGAUCAGCUAAUGGUAUGUUAAAAUCAGGAAAUAUGGUGACAAGGACUAUAACAUCAUCAUCCUGAAUUAUCUUUGAUGUACCCAAAUUUGCAUGUUGUUAGUCAUUGAAUCUAGUAUCGAGAAGAGAAAGAUACGCCACAACUAGCCGGCCUUAUCUCCCUUGAUAUGUCAAUGCAAUACGUAAAUCACUAAUAUGGAGAUGGGUAAAUCCAAGACUAUUCUAUUGCUGUGGAAAGUCCUCGGGCAUCCAUAGUGAUAUGCAUGUACCUUUGGAGUCUCCAGAAUAGGGUGCUGAACAAGUGGUGUAGCAGCAACACAUUUCUUAACUCCUUUUGCCUUUUCUUGAACCAUAGAGUGGAUCUUCAUCCAGGGAUUGCAUACCUUUUUAGCAAUAGCUAAAUAGAGGUUUUGUAAAGGUUUGGUACACAUCCGUUGUAGUGAUGGUAACACCUUUAAUUCGUAUGUAUAGUCAAGUUUGCAUGACAACGUAUCACUAGGAACAGUUGUCAUGUUUCUCUUGAAAAAAGGAUUGUUUGGACUGGAUGUGGACUUUUUAGUAGACAUAUUUUUGGUUUUUUUGGA
Capsicum annuum is the source of this 1609-nucleotide long non-coding RNA. RefSeq lists it as uncharacterized. The transcript is spliced from 2 exons. NCBI's taxonomy places the organism in Eukaryota, Viridiplantae, Streptophyta, Magnoliopsida, Solanales, Solanaceae. The record is from RefSeq and is a predicted model, not a curated record.